ACACAAGGACCCCCCAACCGCACUGGCUCUCCAUUUAACUCUCCCUCCUUCUCCAUUUAACUCUCUCUGAUCCCUCAGUUUUCAUGAACAUGGUACAUUUUGGCAUCUCUUGCAACAGGAAACAAAACUCCCUCUCGGCUCUCUCUAUCAUGAGACGCUCACCAACACAAUUAACACUCUUCACUCCCUCUCUCUCUUUUCCUCUCUCCAACUCUCUCUCUGUCUCUCGGCCACUCUUCCCCUAACAGCAUACACUACACACAGAAACACACAAUUGCACACACACACAAGUAAACACUUGAAAUAAAAAGUCAGGAUGAAGACGUUGGGUUCCUCCAAAGUUUCUAGAGAUUGAGAGCAGCACUGCCAUUAUCAUAGCAAAGCUAAAGCCGUUGCCAAGGUCCCUUUUAAUAAUCUUUAAGUUCUAGUUCAAGAAAUGGGUUUUUGUAAAGUUUCAAAUUAUUAUUUUUAGUUUGUUAUUUUUGACGCUGUAUGACUGUAUCUGUGGGCUUAUUUAUGUUACACGUCUAAUGAGGAGCAAUUUGGAACAAGUUUGGUAAAGUAUGUGCUUGUUUUGAAUGAGUUUAUGAAAUUGAGAUCUGGUUGUAAAUAGUCAUUUUUGCUACUUUUCACUUCUUUUUUUUUUUUUUUUAAAUACCGAGGACGGAAAUGGAAUCUAUGCAAAAGACUCAGUGGAAGAUGAUAGUUUGGGGUAAAUCUAUCACUGGAAGGCUAUGACUGGCGGUGGUUGGUGGCGGCAAAGGCCCGCAGCACUACCGUUGCUGGUGCUCAUUUCUGCGGUGGCUAGGGUUGAGGAAGAAGAAGAGGGAAAAGGAAAACAUAGCGAAAAAAAAAAGGGGGAAAAUCAAGUUUAGUAAAACUACAUAGCAUUGCCCAAGAUCUAAACUACACUGCUCCACUAAAAGGUUGAAAAUGGGUUUCAAAAUCAGAAACUAGAUUUGCAAUUUGGUCCAUCAAUUUCUUGAAACCUCACUAUAGGCCUACAACUUUGAUUCUAUUGCAUCUAGGUCCAUUUUAAUGCAUUUAGGUCCAUGAACUUUAAUGUUGAUCUCUAAUCUUUUUAAUAAUAUGAUUUUGACCAGUAAAACUCUCUAAUGCUACGAUUAGGUCCCACUAGAAUGAUAAUUUUUCAAUUAAAGUAGUUUGAUUUCUUUAAUUACUAUUUUAUUCCUCAAUUGUGCAUUUUUAUGUGUUUUUGUAUGACUAUUACAACUAAAUGACUUAGCUUUGGUCUUUUAUUACUAUGAUAUGAUAGUGGUAUCUUUAUUCUUUUUGUUCGUGUUGUGAGUUCUAAAUAGGGAAACCUUAAACCAACACUUUAAAGGGGGUACCCUUAUUGGUUUUACAUUCAAUUAUGUGCUAUUAUGUGUUUAUAUGUUCUAAGUUGUUUUAAUUCUUAGUUUGCCAUUACGAUACCUUAUUAGUUGUAAUUUUAUUCUUAAAAUGCUUGUUUAUUUUACUCUAAUUUUAUCAUGUUCUAUUCAUUUAAAUAAACAAAAUAGUUCGUUUAUUUUUUUCAUUUUCCCUUUGUUAGAUUGCAGUUAAGACCUUACAUAUAAUAGAUAGGUUUAUUUUUCAUCAUUUCCCUUUCAGAUUGUAAUUAUGUUCUCUAAUGUAAUAGUUAAGGCUUGUGUGUGUUACGUGCACUUAUGUGCUUACAUAUUUGCAUGCUUUCAUAAGGAUUGACACAUCUAGAUAUCAUGCUUAUUUGUUAUGUGCUGAGUGUGCUUUCUAUGUUUACUCCUUUUAUAUCAUGCUAUAGUAUACAAUGCCUGCUUAGCUCCAGCACACUAGUACAAUCCUAACUGUGACACCUUCCCCCCUUUAUUUGCUAAUCCAAUGCUAGUGAAGAUUUGUAAAAAUAGUAUAGUUCAAUGCUAAAAUCUUAGACUUUUUGCACAUUAAAUCCAUGUAUUGUAUGUUAUUCAUUCUAUUUUCGCACAUAUUUUUUUAUUUUUGUAGACUCUUUUUUUUCUCAUUUGUAUGUUGUUUUUUCCUGCCAUAUGCCCCUAUCCCAUAUGUGUUUGAGCAAUUUCAUUUAUAUUUGCAUUUCGUAUAGGAAUUUAGAAAUUAGAUAGUUCAUUUACUUGUUUAGAUUAGUAAAGUCACCCUUUAAGUAUGAAAUGGGCAAUUAUUGCAAUUGUGAAAUGGUUAAGAGGUAGUAACACUCCCAAUCUUAAACUCUUCAAUGGUUAAGAGGUAAUUUAUUCACUAUUACCUCACAAUCUCUGUCACACAUGCAAAAUAAUAGUCCUGUGUCCAAUGGCACGACUAGAAGUUUACAGUAUCUAAUACGAUAAUAAAAAAUAAUAUAUUUAUAGAUAUGGCCCUAAUUGAAUUUCAUCCCAUAAUUAUACUUUUUUAAGAUUGAGAGAAAUAUCUUGUUGAUUUCAUGUAAUAAUGGAAAAAAUAAUAAACAUUGUUAUUGAAAAAUGUAUAUGCAAAAUUAUUAUUAAAGACUAAAAAUGCUCGAAUAUUAUCAAUUUCUCUUUAUAAAUCUGCAUAUGGUUGCGCUUUUCUUUUAAUAGCUAGAUAUUUUCUUUAUAUGGGAGAAUACAUAUUUUUUUUUCAUUCAUAAUAGUUAGAAAAGAGAGAAACAUAGUUGAUUUGGGGUUCAAAAUUUUUGGGUUCAUUUCUUUUAGUACAGCAUGAUUAGAUGCUACUAAAAAUUGUUUGUAUUGCUAAAUUUUUCUAAGAAUCUUUUUUGUUGCAUCAUAGGCACGUUUCUCAAUCAUAUUUUUAUUUUUUUUAACCAUUUUUUAGUUUACAAACAUCAAAUCAGAAAAAGUAUUACAAUAUUAUUUCUAAAAAAAUUUCCAAAUAAUCUUCAAUACAAACAAAUCUAUAGAACUUUAAUAAUAUUUUUAUUGUUUAUUUUUCACUAAAUAAUUUUGUUUUUUCUCCUUAUCAAAUAAAAUGAGCAGGAUAUUUUCCUCUAUCCAAAAAUCUGAAACUAUGGAGAUAAAAUUUAACAAGAGUUAGCUUCUCACUUAGGUAGAAUUCAAAACCAAUUGUGUAAUUUGUGUGAAGUUAUUUCUUCUAAUCAUAUGCAAAUCGAUCCUAUUAUGAAUGGUGAGAAUGUUGUAUGUGAAAGUGGAUUACAUUUUGAUCAAAAUGAUGGAUCUAAUUUAUGUUUCAACGAGUUGCAAAUGAAGAUUCCAAAGUCAUAAUCGCUCAAAAAGGCUACGCAGACGUUUCUUUGGACAAUUUUUAUGUGGUGUGCCCACAAAGUGAUAACCCAUGCAACACUUGAAAUAUUCUUUUUUCUUUGGACAAUUCUCAAGUGCGUUGAAGCAUAUAUUCUUCUUUCUUAUUUCUAACAUUCUCGAAAGGAAUUAUGAUGUUAAUCGUGAGUGACAGCAUGGUUAUAUCUUAUCCGUCAAUCGCAUACAAUAACACAAGGACCGCCCAAGCGCACUGGGUCUCCAUUUAACUCUCCCUCCUUCUCCAUUUAACUCUCUCUGAUCCCUCAGUUUUCAUGAACAUGGUACAUUUUGGCAUCUCUUGCAACAGGAAACAAAACUCCCUCUCGGCUCUCUCUAUCAUGUGACACUUACCAACACAAUUAACGCUCUCCACUCCCUCUCUCUCUUUUCCUCUCUCCAACUCUCUCUCUGUCUCUCUCGGCCACUCCUUCCCUAACAGCACACACUACACACAGAAACACACAAUUGCACACACAAGUAAACACUUGAAAUAAAAAGUCAGGAUGAAGACGUUGGGUUCCUCCAAAGUUUCUAGAGUUUGAGAGCAGCACUGCCAUUAUCAUAGCAAAGCUAAAGCCGUUGCCAAGAGACUAUCAGCUUUGCUUCGUCAUCCUAACUAUUGCAUCUCUGCCUAUUCAUGUGUAAGUUACAUACAUCUAUGUUCACUUUUAUGGAAUUUCAAACUGGUCCUGCUUAGCAAAAUAUAUUAGUCAUCCCUUGAUUAGAUGCUCACUUUUAUGGAAGAAGAAUUUGCUUGAUUCAGACUUUGACUGGAAUCCGUUAGAUGGUAAGGUAAGUUAUUCAUCUUGUUUAGAUUUUAGACAUCUGUAGCUUUCUUGUGAUCAUUUUAAAUGCCUAUUGAAGCGUGUAGUCAACUUCUGAUAGGACUAAGUGCUUGAAUAUUGGGAAUAAAGUUAACAACUUCUCUGCAUGAUUUGUUGGCUUUCAGAUUGGAUUUUACAGUUGUUUUGCCGCUUCUAAUCAUUGAAUGAACUAAGUCUUUAGUUUGCUAUCCAUUGUUUCUACAGCCUGCAUUAACAUUUUAAUUGAUGUAAGCCCUGAUAAGCCUCCAAUGGAGAUGUGUACUACACAAGAGUACUGUCCCUAUGUAUCAAACCUGCGGCUUUUCUGGUCACGCUGGACCAAAUUUACCAUUGCCUUAAGGCUGAUUGACCUGUAAAUGGCUCACUUUCAUCACCAUCUAAGACUCUUUUUUACACCUAUCUUUGGUGGUUUGAAGCAACCUAACGUGAAAUUCAGACGGGCGAACGUGAUUCUUGCUGAUGCAAGUUCCAUGCUGUCAGCAUACUUCUUGCAAGGCAUACAAGUCCAUUAAGCAGCAUUUGGAUGCCGCUGAAGAGCCAAUGGUAGGUGCACUGAAGCAGCGGCCAUGCCGCUAUAGCAGCAGAUGGUGCCCAAGAAGCCUUAAGGAGCACUAGUCCAGGGUGGGAUGGGAGGAGCAGGGAUAGUAGUGAGAAACUGGAGAGGACUCCACUAGCGAAAGCAACACCAUUCAAUAUAUCCACAUAUUUAUGGCAGCGAUUCUGCGAUUGCUUCAUAGCCAAAAAUAAUAGGGUGUAGGAAAGUAUAGCAGCAACGAAACUCCAGGUUUGCAGAGGAUGUGUUUCAAAUGGGUCCUCAGAUUUGGCCUGAUACUUCACCGAAACAACCCCAGAUAAAGAGGGAAUCGAAUAUUUUAAGACUGUAUGACAAGUAGGUGUCGAGUUCAAUUGAUCCUCAUUCACUUCAUCCCUGUAAAACAAGAUGUUUUACCAAACACGAAUUCAAAGAAACUAGUAUAUAAUAUACAAACACUCUAAGCAAAAAGUGUGCUGAAUCUCAAGCGCACUAAUAUACAAA
Molecule: long non-coding RNA, 5087 nt
Organism: Coffea arabica (coffee)
Lineage: Eukaryota; Viridiplantae; Streptophyta; Magnoliopsida; Gentianales; Rubiaceae
Source: RefSeq, a predicted model, not a curated record